UACGAAGGGGGCUAGCGUUGCUCGGAAUCACUGGGCGUAAAGCGCACGUAGGCGGCUUUCUAAGUCAGGGGUGAAAUCCUGGAGCUCAACUCCAGAACUGCCUUUGAUACUGAGAGUCUCGAGUCCGAGAGAGGUGAGUGGAACUGCGAGUGUAGAGGUGAAAUUCGUAGAUAUUCGCAAGAACACCAGUGGCGAAGGCGGCUCACUGGCUCGGUACUGACGCUGAGGUGCGAAAGCGUGGGGAGCAAACAGG
Molecule: ribosomal RNA, 253 nt
Filed under: uncultured bacterium
Lineage: Bacteria
Description: partial 16S ribosomal RNA
Rfam family: Bacterial small subunit ribosomal RNA
Source: RNAcentral